This 500-nucleotide ribosomal RNA is filed under the name uncultured bacterium. Its description in RNAcentral is "partial 16S ribosomal RNA". It matches the Rfam family "Bacterial small subunit ribosomal RNA", at positions 30 to 523 of the family's 1533-position model. The record is from RNAcentral.
AUUGAACGCUGGCGGAAUGCUUUACACAUGCAAGUCGAACGGCAGCACGGACUUCGGUCUGGUGGCGAGUGGCGAACGGGUGUGUAAUGUAUCGGAACGUGCCCAGUCGUGGGGGAUAACGUAGUGAAAAUUACGCUAAUACCGCAUACGAUCUAUGGAUGAAAGCGGGGGAUCGCAAGACCUCGCGCGAUUGGAGCGGCCGAUAUCAGAUUAGGUAGUUGGUGGGGCAAAGGCCCACCAAGCCAACGAUCUGUAGCUGGUCUGAGAGGACGACCAGCCACACUGGAACUGAGACACGGUCCAGACUCCUACGGGAGGCAGCAGUGGGGAAUUUUGGACAAUGGGCGAAAGCCUGAUCCAGCCAUUCCGCGUGCAGGAUGAAGGCCCUCGGGUUGUAAACUGCUUUUGUACAGAACGAAAAGGUUUCUACUAAUACUAGGAGCUCAUGACGGUACUGUAAGAAUAAGCACCGGCUAACUACGUACCAGCCGCCGCGGUAA